AACGAACGCUGGCGGCAUGCCUAACACAUGCAAGUCGAACGAGGCCUUCGGGUCUAGUGGCGCACGGGUGCGUAACGCGUGGGAACCUGCCCUUAGGUUCGGAAUAACUCCCCGAAAGGGGUGCUAAUACCGGAUAAUGUCUUCGGACCAAAGAUUUAUCGCCUUUGGAUGGGCCCGCGUUGGAUUAGCUAGUUGGUAGGGUAAAAGCCUACCAAGGCAACGAUCCAUAGCUGGUCUGAGAGGAUGAUCAGCCACACUGGGACUGAGACACGGCCCAGACUCCUACGGGAGGCAGCAGUGGGGAAUAUUGGACAAUGGGCGAAAGCCUGAUCCAGCAAUGCCGCGUGAGUGAUGAAGGCCUUAGGGUUGUAAAGCUCUUUUACCCGGGAUGAUAAUGACAGUACCGGGAGAAUAAGCUCCGGCUAACUCCGUG
This 433-nucleotide ribosomal RNA is filed under the name uncultured bacterium. Its description in RNAcentral is "partial 16S ribosomal RNA". It matches the Rfam family "Bacterial small subunit ribosomal RNA", at positions 29 to 507 of the family's 1533-position model. The record is from RNAcentral.